GGCAGAAUGGCCGAGCGGUCCAAGGCGUGUGACUCAAGUUGAGUACGUAAUCAUCGUGUACAAAACUUGCCCGAUUCGGGUUUCUCAUCAUCGUAUGAUGGCAGGGGUUCGAAUCCCCUUUCUGUCA
This is a non-coding RNA of Armillaria luteobubalina, 127 nucleotides long. NCBI's taxonomy places the organism in Eukaryota, Fungi, Basidiomycota, Agaricomycetes, Agaricales, Physalacriaceae. The record is from the annotation of a GenBank genome assembly.